This is a non-coding RNA of Acanthosepion pharaonis, 105 nucleotides long. Lineage: Eukaryota; Metazoa; Mollusca; Cephalopoda; Sepiida; Sepiidae. The record is from the annotation of a GenBank genome assembly.
UAUGGCCAUAUCACGUUGAAACACCGAUUCUCAUAUGAUCACCUAAGUUAAGCAACAUCUAGCUUGGUUAGUACCUAGAUGGGUGACCACUUGGCAAUACCAAGU